GACGUAGGGCGCGAGCGUUGUCCGGAUUUAUUGGGCGUAAAGAGCUCGUAGGCGGUUUGUCACGUCGGAUGUGAAACCCCGGGGCUUAACUCCGGGCCUGCAUUCGAUACGGGCUGACUAGAGUUCGGCAGGGGAGACUGGAAUUCCUGGUGUAGCGGUGAAAUGCGCAGAUAUCAGGAGGAACACCGGUGGCGAAGGCGGGUCUCUGGGCCGAUACUGACGCUGAGGAGCGAAAGCGUGGGGAGCGAACAGG
RNAcentral lists this ribosomal RNA (253 nucleotides) under uncultured bacterium. RNAcentral describes it as "partial 16S ribosomal RNA". It matches the Rfam family "Bacterial small subunit ribosomal RNA", at positions 524 to 776 of the family's 1533-position model. The record is from RNAcentral.